AAGCCAACACUAAGGAUGCGAAGGCGAGCUGGGCCCGGUGCUGCAACUGCCAAAGAAUUCCUGCAACGCCAGGGCUUCUGAGCUCCGGACUUCACAGUCAGCUGCGUCAGUGAGUCCCCCUUCUGCUUAGGCCAGUGCAUGCUGGGAUUUCUGUCACCUGCAAUCGGCUGGGCCGUAAGAGAUGCAGGUCAGGACACCCCCGAUGGCAGUGAGUUGUGUGGCUGGAAUCCCUCCCAGAGACCCCGCCCCUUCUCCAGGCGGGGCAGCCCAGAGCACACCAGGACACUGCUCUCCCUUGCACCUUCCCUGAUGUGCCAGCUGAGGGGGAACCUGUUAUCAUCCCGUUCUGCACGUGAGGAAGGCGAGGUGCUGAGGGGCUAAACUCGCUGAGCCCAGCAGAUGGCCAGGGCAGAUGCGGGACUGGCAGGGGCUUUCUGGCUCUAGAAUCUUCCCCGUUGCCGCCCCCCAGCUGCUCAUCACCCUGGGGUGAAGAAAUCCCUAGGAGAACUCCGUAGACUCCGUUCUUCUACACAUGGGAGCUCUGGGGCUGGGUAAAGGCCCUGUCCUGGGUCACGAGAGCCAAGCGAGGGCGUGAAACCAGAGCUGCCCUGAGAUGGCAGGGACACGGAGCAAGUGGAGGACUUUGGUGCCGGCCACAGGAGGCAGGAGUGGCUAUCUCUCCUGUGACCUCAAAGCAUCCUCUGGGGGCAGAAGGGCCGUGGCACUGCUGGCAGCCUGAGGUCAACUUACUUGAAGGCACUGGGGUCUCCAUGGAUCUUGUAGUUGUCGGCGCUGAUCUGUGAGAUGACUCUGGUCACAGCGAUGAGGAUGCCAAUGUUGACCUGCACAAGAAACCAUGGAGGAAGGUGAGGGGGGCCUGGGCUGCACCUGCAGGAGAGCUGCGUCCGCCUGGCCACUGCCCUCACCACAGGCUACCCCUGCCCAGCCAGGGCUCCUGGGACACAGGGGCAUCACUGGGACAAAUCUCACCCUGUUCCGUGGGCUUUUACCAACACACACAACAUGCAAGCUUGCCUCUGAGAGCACCUGCACUGAGAAGACAGCAGAGACGAGUUCUAGUCCCAGGAACACAUCCGGGCAUGAGGGCAUGAGCCUGGGCCAGACCUCAUCUUAGCAUUUGCUUCGUUAGUGUGACCCUGGGCAACUCACCCAGGUCCUCGGAGCCUCAGUGCCCCAGGUGAUGAGAAGGAUAGUGCCCACUGUGCAAACGACUGCUCAAUGUGCCAGGCCCCGGCACAGGAGCUGGCUCUCAUCUCCCGCCCCGGCCCAGGCCUGCGGCUGUGCGAGCCACAGAAGCUGCGGCAGAGGGGCAUCAUCUCCUGCCAGCACCCCUCCUGCCUAGCCCCUUAGGACACUAUUGUGGCAGUGAGCACCCCAACUGUUCCCUCCUCGGCUCCUGUCUUCACUGACCACCUCAACACCUGGAAGCUCAGCUCACGCCCAGCUCAGCUGACAGUCGGAUGCACCUUAGUUGCCCUUAUUUUCCCAUCUGUAAAGUGAGGCUAAUAACAGAAGUGUCCAAAGGCCAGGGAAGGGAAAAGAAGUCAACACAUUAGCCACCCAGCAUGGUGUCUGCACAAAGAGCAUGUCCAGAAACGCUGAUGCCCCCCAGCCAACCUCACUGUGUAACGACGAGAAGAAAGCCACACUCAACUAGGAGCAGCAAGCGGGAGCAGCGUGGAUGACAGGUCAGUGGUUUUCAAAUGCAGUGAUGAUUCAACUAGGACAGUGACAAACGCGUGACUAAUGUGCAGUUAUUACUUCGAGUGGGGAUUUCAAUUGCAGAUGGCUGAUGGUCACUGAUGUGUGAGUGCGGCCCAUGCCCUCGGGGCAGGCUGGCCUUGGCCAUCUGCCUGGGAAGCACUUUCGUGCCUCCAGUGGUGGCUACAGCAUCACACAGAGAGGGAGGUGGAGAUGGAAGGUGCCCCAAGUCAAACUGCCACAGACCCUGCCUGCUCUUACUGAGAUUCAGAAGUUUUUCUUGAAUAAAUGCUUUUAGUGUGCAUGCCUUUGUUUCUAG
This 2041-nucleotide long non-coding RNA is filed under the name Homo sapiens (human). Its description in RNAcentral is "non-protein coding lnc-STX2-10:1". The record is from RNAcentral. Lineage: Eukaryota; Metazoa; Chordata; Mammalia; Primates; Hominidae.